GACGAACGCUGGCGGCACGCUUAACACAUGCAAGUCGAACGAGGUCCAUCCGCUCGCAAGAGCGGUGAAGACCUAGUGGCGAACGGGUGAGUAACACGUGAGAAACCUGCCCCGAAGACCGGGAUAACUCACCGAAAGGUGAGCUAAUACCGGAUACCCUCACGACGCUUCAUGGCGAUGUGAGGAAAUGGAUUCCGCUUCGGGAGGGUCUCGCGGCCUAUCAGCUUGUUGGUGAGGUAACGGCUCACCAAGGCGACGACGGGUAGCUGUUCUGAGAGGAAGAUCAGCCACACUGGGACUGAGACACGGCCCAGACUCCUACGGGAGGCAGCAGUGGGGAAUCUUGCGCAAUGGGCGAAAGCCUGACGCAGCGAUGCCGCGUGCGGGAAGACGGCCUUCGGGUUGUAAACCGCUUUCAGCAGGGACGAAAUUGACGGUACCUGCAGAAGAAGCUCCGGCCAACUACGUGCCAGCAGCCGCGGUAAGACGUAGGGGGCGAGCGUUGUCCGGAAUUAUUGGGCGUAAAGGGCUCCUAGGCGGUUCAGUAAGUCGACUGUGAAAAUCCAAGGCUCAACCUUGGGACGCCAGUCGAUACUGCUGUGACUCGAGUUCGGUAGAGGAGUGUGGAAUUCCUGGUGUAGCGGUGAAAUGCGCAGAUAUCAGGAGGAACACCAACGGCGAAGGCAGCACUCUGGGCCGAUA
This 702-nucleotide ribosomal RNA is filed under the name uncultured Actinomycetes bacterium. RNAcentral describes it as "bacterial SSU rRNA". It matches the Rfam family "Bacterial small subunit ribosomal RNA", at positions 28 to 739 of the family's 1533-position model. Lineage: Bacteria; Bacillati; Actinomycetota; Actinomycetes. The record is from RNAcentral.